GAUAACUCCGGAAUAGCCUUUCGAAAGAAAGAUUAAUACCGGAUAGCAUACGAAUAUCGCAUGAUAUUUUUAUUAAAGAAUUUCGGUUAUCGAUGGGGAUGCGUUCCAUUAGUUUGUUGGCGGGGUAACGGCCCACCAAGACUACGAUGGAUAGGGGUUCUGAGAGGAAGGUCCCCCACAUUGGAACUGAGACACGGUCCAAACUCUACGGGAGGCAGCAUG
This 222-nucleotide ribosomal RNA is filed under the name uncultured bacterium. Its description in RNAcentral is "partial 16S ribosomal RNA". It matches the Rfam family "Bacterial small subunit ribosomal RNA", at positions 131 to 353 of the family's 1533-position model. The record is from RNAcentral.